This is an RNA transcript of Halichondria panicea, 1733 nucleotides long. It is a transcript of the gene named collagen alpha-3(IX) chain-like, with no coding region annotated. The record is from RefSeq and is a predicted model, not a curated record. NCBI's taxonomy places the organism in Eukaryota, Metazoa, Porifera, Demospongiae, Suberitida, Halichondriidae. The transcript is spliced from 8 exons.
GUCCAUGCCAUUGGUACAACAGUCAUUCAUGUACAUGUAGUUUUACAACUAUGUAGAUAGACUUCUACGUGUAGCAGCAGCUCCACCUCCCUAUUACAGCAAAAAGGCUAGCCCUGAGACGAUGGCUGCAGUAGUGUUGGCAGAGAUCCCCGAACUACUGACUGAGACAUGAGGAAGAGGACAUUGAGCCGAGGGAGCGGCUACAGUCUACUAGUACAACCACCCCAACUAAAAUGUAUUUUUUUGUAAAUAUCAUUAUAAUUAUAGCAACUAUUUACACAAUAAAAUUAUUAUAUAGCGACUGUUUCUAGUGUCUAGAGUCAUCCUACAAGUCACUUUCGGUAUGCCACUUUAAGCACCCUAAACAGUGUGUGUGUGUGUGUGUGAUGUCUUGAUAACCAUUAGGGGGGUUUUCCCUUUAGCCCGUACUAGGAAUUGUUUACGUCUUCUCCGUUAAGAAAAACUACCGUGUUGUUACAGUUUUGUAUAAUUAUGACUGAGAGAAAUGACGUACUAUCAGUAAACACGUCGCCCACCCACUGCUAUAAAAGCAGAUAGCCUUGUCGGCAGCACUUACUGCAAUAACUGAAAAUGAAACCUCAGCUGGUGCUCCUUUGCUCUGUAUUGAGCUUUGUCUUCUUCUCAUUCACAUUCGCUCAAACUGGCCCACGCGGACCCCCCGGGAUAAAGGGGCAGAGAGGAAGGACCGGAUUGCGAGGACGUCCUGGGGGGAAAGGAGCGAGGGGUUUCCCAGGAUACACAGGACACACUGGUAGCCCUGGUACCAAGGGUGUUACUGGUGUAUCUGGUUUGCCUGGAAGUUCUGGACCACCCGGGAUCAUUGGACCCGAAGGAAUAAAGGGAGAACAUGGAGACACCGGCUCCCCUGGCAUGGAUGGGAUGGUGGGACCCCCGGGGCCAAAGGGAGAACCUGGUGGAUUAUUUGAGGAAGGUGAGCGGGCAUAUUUAAAUACAUGUACAGAACAUGACUUUAUUUAUAAAUUAUGAAUGGACCUCACUGCAGGAGAUCCAGGCUCGUCUGGUACAACAUAUGUGCACUGGGGCAGGACGUAUUGUGGGGGUACCAGCAGCUCUAAUCUCUAUUCUGGAGUGGCCACUACUAACUCAGCUGGAAACCCACUCUGUAUUCCUCAACCUUGUGGAGAUGACUUUGGAGAUGACGUGUGUGGAUCUUCUACCUUAAAGUCUCCGUUUGAUUUGACUGGUUGGGAAGUAGAAAAAGUGACAGAAAUAGCGUAUAUCAAGAAUGGACAGCCAUGGAAACUCGACUGCUCUCUAUGCUUCAUUAAAGACGCAUCUACGUCUAUUACCAUCCCAGAUGCAAACAAAUGCCCUAAAGACUGGUGCCCACAAUACACAGGAGUGCUGUCACAAGUUUGGGAAUCGACUGGCCAAUUCAUUUGUGUGGAUCCAAGCAAUGUUGCCCAACCCCCUGAGAGACCCCAACAUCACAAACUGGCAGCCGUAGAGAGGAAUUGUUUCCUCGGCUCUGAGUGUAAGGACCUGAAAGAAGAGGAGCUCAGAGUGCCUUGUAUAGUGUGCAGUUUUAGCACUACCAAACCUUGCCCAGAAUAGACCUACUACGAGACAUUUUAAAUAUCAUCGUUUACUAUAAUUAUAGCCAACUAUUCAAAUAACUUGAAACUACGUCAUCAUUAAUGUUUUGAAAGUCAAUAUCAAAUCUUAGACACGAAAAAUAUUGAUGGUGAUCA